AGAGUUUGAUCCUGGCUCAGGACGAACGCUGGCGGCGUGCUUAACACAUGCAAGUCGAACGGAAAGGCCCUGCUUUUGUGGGGUGCUCGAGUGGCGAACGGGUGAGUAACACGUGAGUAACCUGCCCUUGACUUUGGGAUAACUUCAGGAAACUGGGGCUAAUACCGGAUAGGAGCUCCUGCUGCAUGGUGGGGGUUGGAAAGUUUCGGCGGUUGGGGAUGGACUCGCGGCUUAUCAGCUUGUUGGUGGGGUAGUGGCUUACCAAGGCUUUGACGGGUAGCCGGCCUGAGAGGGUGACCGGCCACAUUGGGACUGAGAUACGGCCCAGACUCCUACGGGAGGCAGCAGUGGGGAAUAUUGCACAAUGGGCGGAAGCCUGAUGCAGCAACGCCGCGUGCGGGAUGACGGCCUUCGGGUUGUAAACCGCUUUCGCCUGUGACGAAGCGUGAGUGACGGUAAUGGGUAAAGAAGCACCGGCUAGCUACGUG
RNAcentral lists this ribosomal RNA (488 nucleotides) under uncultured Propionibacterium sp. RNAcentral describes it as "bacterial SSU rRNA". It matches the Rfam family "Bacterial small subunit ribosomal RNA", at positions 8 to 507 of the family's 1533-position model. Lineage: Bacteria; Bacillati; Actinomycetota; Actinomycetes; Propionibacteriales; Propionibacteriaceae. The record is from RNAcentral.